RNAcentral lists this ribosomal RNA (352 nucleotides) under uncultured bacterium. RNAcentral's name for it is "bacterial SSU rRNA". It matches the Rfam family "Bacterial small subunit ribosomal RNA", at positions 527 to 881 of the family's 1533-position model. The record is from RNAcentral.
GGAGGAUCCGAGCGUUAUCCGGAUUUAUUGGGUUUAAAGGGAGCGUAGAUGGGUUGUUAAGUCAGUUGUGAAAGUUUGCGGCUCAACCGUAAAAUUGCAAUUGAUACUGGCAGUCUUGAGUACAGUUGAGGUAGGCGGAAUUCGUGGUGUAGCGGUGAAAUGCUUAGAUAUCACGAAGAACUCCGAUUGCGAAGGCAGCCUGCUAAGCUGCAACUGACAUUGAGGCUUGAAAGUGUGGGUAUCAAACAGGAUUAGAUACCCUGGUAGUCCACACGGUAAACGAUGAAUACUCGCUGUUUGCGAUAUACAGCAAGCGGCCAAGCGAAAGCGUUAAGUAUUCCACCUGGGGAGU